Molecule: non-coding RNA, 74 nt
Filed under: Kiloniella litopenaei
Lineage: Bacteria; Pseudomonadati; Pseudomonadota; Alphaproteobacteria; Rhodospirillales; Kiloniellaceae
Also listed under: 1 other name
Description: Alpha-proteobacteria SAM riboswitch aptamer
Rfam family: Alpha-proteobacteria SAM riboswitch aptamer
About the family: This family is a riboswitch found predominantly in alpha-proteobacteria that binds S-adenosyl methionine (SAM).
Source: Rfam by way of RNAcentral
ACAUUAAUUAGCGCUGAUUUGGAGCUCAGCUUGCGGGCGCUUAAAAAAUGCAGCUAAAUCGAGGGGAAACCCAU